GACGAACGCUGGCGGCGUGCUUAAAACAUGCAAGUCGAACGGACUUCUCAUGAAGCUUGCGAUUGAGAAGUUAGUGGCGGACGGGUGAGUAACGCGUGGGCAACCUGCCCCUGAGCCCGGGAUAACAGUUCGAAAGGACUGCUAAGACCGGAUAUACUUGCGGGGAAGCAUUUCACUGCAAGGAAAGGGAACGCUCAGGGAUGGGCCCGCGUCCCAUUAGCUAGUUGGUGAGGUAACGGCCCACCAAGGCGACGAUGGGUAGCCGGCCUGAGAGGGUGAACGGCCACACUGGGACUGAGACACGGCCCAGACUCCUACGGGAGGCAGCAGUUGGGAAUCUUCGGCAGUGGGCGCAAGCCUGACCGAGCAACGCCGCGUGAGUGAUGAAGGUUUUCGGAUUGUAAAGCUCUGUCUUCCGGGACGAUAAUGACGGUACCGGAGGAGGAAGCCACGGCUAACUACGUGCCAGCAGCCGCGGUAACUCACGAGAGUA
Molecule: ribosomal RNA, 493 nt
Filed under: uncultured bacterium
Lineage: Bacteria
Description: bacterial SSU rRNA
Rfam family: Bacterial small subunit ribosomal RNA
Source: RNAcentral